RNAcentral lists this ribosomal RNA (486 nucleotides) under uncultured bacterium. RNAcentral's name for it is "partial 16S ribosomal RNA". It matches the Rfam family "Bacterial small subunit ribosomal RNA", at positions 356 to 858 of the family's 1533-position model. The record is from RNAcentral.
GGGGAAUAUUGCACAAUGGGCGAAAGCCUGAUGCAGCAACGCCGCGUGAGUGAUGAAGGUCUUCGGAUUGUAAAGCUCUGUCUUUUGGGACGAUAAUGACGGUACCAAAGGAGGAAGCCACGGCUAACUACGUGCCAGCAGCCGCGGUAAUACGUAGGUGGCGAGCGUUGUCCGGAUUUACUGGGCGUAAAGGGUGCGUAGGCGGAUGUUUAAGUGAGAUGUGAAAUACCCGGGCUUAACUUGGGUGCUGCAUUUCAAACUGGAUAUCUAGAGUGCAGGAGAGGAGAAUGGAAUUCCUAGUGUAGCGGUGAAAUGCGUAGAGAUUAGGAAGAACACCAGUGGCGAAGGCGAUUCUCUGGACUGUAACUGACGCUGAGGCACGAAAGCGUGGGUAGCAAACAGGAUUAGAUACCCUGGUAGUCCACGCCGUAAACGAUGAGUACUAGGUGUAGGAGGUAUCGACCCCUUCUGUGCCGCAGUAAACAC